UACGUAGGGCGCAAGCGUUAUCCGGAAUUAUUGGGCGUAAGAGCUCGUAGGCGGUUUGUCGCGUCUGCUGUGAAAGACCGGGGCUCAACUCCGGUUCUGCAGUGGGUACGGGCAGACUAGAGUGAUGUAGGGGAGACUGGAAUUCCUGGUGUAGCGGUGAAAUGCGCAGAUAUCAGGAGGAACACCGAUGGCGAAGGCAGGUCUCUGGGCAUUAACUGACGCUGAGGAGCGAAAGCAUGGGGAGCGAACAGG
This 252-nucleotide ribosomal RNA is filed under the name uncultured bacterium. RNAcentral describes it as "partial 16S ribosomal RNA". It matches the Rfam family "Bacterial small subunit ribosomal RNA", at positions 524 to 776 of the family's 1533-position model. The record is from RNAcentral.